GUAUUUUAAUAUCUGUGCUGAAAAGCUUAGACAGAGAGGUCAUAAAAGUCAUGUGAAUUAAGGUGAGAAGCAAUGAGACUGGAGCAAUAACCACUUCUAACUGCCAUGAAGUGAUCUUUGAAUCUGCCUGAUUGUUUCCUCCAGCAACUGCAGCGGGUUAUUUCCUGUCAAAAAUGCAAUAACUGAUAUUUCAGCAUAUACAUUAUAAACUGUGGGCUUCAUGGCAUGAAUGAAAGAUUUUGAAUGUGAAUAACUAGAAAGAUAAAAUUGAAUGGGAGUUAUGGAUAUUCUUGCCUAGAAGAAAGACAUUAAAGAAGUGCUGUAGUGAUUCAUUCUAGUAUCCCAAUUAACUCACUAAGUAUUUACUAGAUGUGUAUUCACUCAGAUAUUUUUACAAGACAUUUUGAAAUACCUGUGACAGUUUUGAUUAGACUUCCAAGAUGUUUCUAGUUUCAAGUCAAGUGUCAGAGCUAAUGUGCAAUCUGGAUCAUUAAAAAUGGGACUAACUGGUUCACAGAAUGUACGAUGGAUGGUUUCUCAUGACAUUCAAAGCUGCUGCUGCUGUCUGGGUUCAGAUCCAGGCAGACCUGGAGUGUUUAGUUUUGAUAUCUGAAAGCGUGUAUUGUGCGCUGCUUCUUGAUAAAAGCUUUAUAAUUUUAGAUCUCCUCAUACAGGAGUAGUGACGGUGGCUAUCAGAAAAUGUUGCUGUGCCACUGGUGGGACUGUCGAGGUGCAAUUUACAAUUAUUUGUAGCUGAGAAGGCCAAACAAACAAAUGUUGUUGGGCUGGUAAAAAUCUCAUUUAUCAUAGGUUGUGAGACAUGCAGCAGAUAAUUCUACACGGCCAAGUUCCUCCGAAUCCAUAGAGCCAUUGCUGAUUUUUGUGACUGCUUCUAUUCUCAGUUCCUGACAAAUGUGAUUUGAGGUUUGUGCUCUACUCCCUCUGAUGAAAAGCCUGAUGCAAGGUCUCACAAACCUGGGAAACACCUACUACACAUCAAAAACUGGGUUCCUUUGGUCUAAAAGCUGUGGAUGGAAAGACAGAGUGUGUGUGCUGAGGGGCAGUUACUCCCUGUCUCAGAAUGGAAAUCGCCCUUGAGCAACAAGAACAACAUGUACUGAAGAUUCACUGGUAUGUGUGAAAACUCUCAGUUAGAGACUCCUUUUCCUUACAAUGAAUUUCCUGACACAGCACCUGCUAUUGCCUUACGUUACUCUGGAUAUUUUCAUCAGAUACCCAGUAAUCAUCUACUUGCAGAGGAGAUGCUGAUUCUUCCUAACACCAUGUCUUUACCUUCUGCUGUGUUGUCUGUUCUUCAAAAAAUAUUCUUGCACCUGCUGGCCUUCAAAGGAAUGAGAUCCUGUGGCUUUAAAUUCCCAGUCUAUGUGUUUUGAGAAUACAGAAGCAACAUCAUAAAGCUUACAUCAAAGUCCUACACUAGAAGGGAAGAGGAAAGCAGAAGGGAUGCUGUGUUAUCUUUACCAACUAGCUCACUGCAGCUAGCAUUCAGUGGCUUUGCUGUGGCUGGAUUCUGCCACAACUCACCUGCCUGGAAGCCCCACAGUGAAGUUCAAGCCUGUCUGCAAACUGCAAGUGCAAUGGAACUGAAUUAAAAGGUUUUUAAAAGCAUAUGCAGUAUUAAAUGUUAAACACCCCAUGAUUAUCAAGCCUCAAAGUGUGAUAUGAUCCAGAUUCUUCUCUGCCUCAUUUAGUGUCAGAUUAAUGAGAACAUAGGGUGCUGGGUGAGGAUCUUCUGAGCACCAGUCAGCCCAGUUCAUGAAAGAGCUCUUUAUUCUCUGGCAAAAUAGAGAAUCAGACAGAGUUUGGGGUCCUGUGAGGGAAGCAGAGCAUGUACUUGGUGGGAUGAUGAGCAACUUUGAAGGAAUUUUUAUUUUUUAAACUCGGGGUGGGGACCUGUCUUUCAUGUACAGUGGAGGGCAGAAAUGCAACAAGUAGUGGACUACAACACACAAUGCGUAUGUGUCAUGUUAUAGUUUCACUCAGCCUAGAAAAAAUGUUACUGAAAACUAAGCAAACAUUUUCAGGACUGAGUAAAAAGUAUGCUUUAACACAGUGGCUAGGGAGCAGGAAGAGGGAGGAGCAGAGUGAUUUGAACCCAAGAAAGAUGAAUUAGGCAUAGAAAGAAAAUGCACUGUGUGAGUAUUAAUGUUGCACUGAUAGGUACCUAUAAUACGGCUCUGAAGACUUUGUCAGAAAACUGUUUAUUCCAACUAUGCCGGUGGCUAUCUAUCUUCUGAACAGUAAAUGUAUGUCCCCCAUAUACCUGCAGUUGUGACUUACGCACUUAAGUAAAAGAUGGUAACUGUGAUGCAGGACUUUUUGGUUCAUUUUUACAUUAUUUUUGCAGCAUAAAAUUGCCUUAAAGAUUGUGAUAGCAGCUAUGGGACUGUCUUCUGUAGUGGAGGGGUUCUCAGCUAACACAGGCUUUCUGUAACUGCCUCUGUUUCAGCUCCCUCCUUACUGCAAGUAGAAUUGAAAAAAAUUGGAAGCAUAUUUCACAGGUCCAUACUGUAUUGAAUGCAUGCUUCUGUUCACUCUCACCUCAUUUGUAAUCUCCCCAGGCAGAUUAUUUGCACUCACUUUUAUCCUCACAGUUCUCAAAAAUCUACUUAAAGAAUCCAGUCGCUGCAAGACAGACUGUACAGUGCUUGAAACAUCUAGAGAGUUCCAGUGGAAGAGGGACAGGCUGAAGGGAGGGCCGUUGCACUAGCACUAUGCAAACACAGUUUCUGUCUUUACCAGUUUAUAAUGUAAAUAAGGAAUGCUGGAGGAGAAAACAGCUGUACACAGAGGUGAAGGAAGUUGCUCAAGAUGGGAAGGCAGGCCAGCAGAAGAACCAGUUAUAUAUUGCUGUAUUUCACAACAGAGUGCUAUUAUUUUCUGCUGCACCAGAACUUGUACAGAUGCUUACUCCUUUAUGACUUGCUGUAAGAUUUAAUAUAAUACCAUUUCUCCUUCAGUGGACCCAUUCCAAAUCAUCUGCUAGUAUUUCAUUACUGCUGCAUUCUCUAUGCAAAAUUGAGGUAAGUUUUUAUGGAAGUAUUUACAGAAGUGCUGGGAGUUUAAAACUGGAUCUCCAUGCAUUUAGAAGCACGUUCUUUCUUUAUUAAAUCACUAAUAAUAAUGGCCUUAAAAUAUUCUCAGACAUUCUCUGUGACGCCAACAAAGCAAGUCUGACAUUUCCUAAGCUAAAGCCAUUUCAGAGAAUUGAUGAAUUAAAUAAAAUUAAGUUUGAAAUAUUUCCUAAAGCUGUAGUCAGGUAAAUUAUGAAAUGUGAUGGGCCAGGCUCAAUCCUGUGCUUCAAAUUAUUUACAUGAUUGCAGAAAUACAGAAUAGCUGUAUACAUGUUUUUUUACUUUUGCCACACUCACCAUGACUUUUUACUUGUGAUGAGAUGUGUUUUUCCAAAGUUCAGGACUUCUGUUUUUUUAGAAGCUAUAAGAAAGAUUUGAGCCUUGGCUUGUGGCUUUAUGGGAAAGUAGCUUCAACUUUAACCAUGGAAAAGAGAACACUUCACAAUGGGUGUGACCUAACCUACUUAGUCUGUUGGAUAAUUAAAUACAGGGUAAUCUGAACUGGUGGACCAAAGUACCUCCAGACUUACCACACCAUUUCACUUUCCAGUUGCGAUUAGCAUCAACACCAUGACAGGGAAACCUUGUGUUCUUUGAUCUUGUUUUUCUCCAAAAUCGAUCCUAACAUAAGUUAUAAAAUAGUUAAAUAGCAGUAUUUCUACAUUUUGGCAAAAAUCUAUUUGUACACAUAACAAACCAACCCUGGUAAACAUAUUCAGUAUUAUAUUUUAACUGCAGUAAUUUACUUCCAUUUUGCAUGCCACAAAGUGAUGGACCAGUUUAUACAGAAAUUCACAUCUGAAUGAUGUA
Long non-coding RNA from Aquila chrysaetos chrysaetos, 3905 nucleotides. RefSeq lists it as uncharacterized. The record is from RefSeq and is a predicted model, not a curated record. The transcript is spliced from 3 exons. Lineage: Eukaryota; Metazoa; Chordata; Aves; Accipitriformes; Accipitridae.